GAGCGUCAUUUAAACCAAUCCAGCCUCGUGCUUGGGUCUUGGGCCUUUCGCCUCCGGGCGGGCCUCAAAAUCAGUGGCGGUGCCUUCUGGCUCUAAGCGUAGUAAUACUCCUCGCUAUAGAUGUUAGAUGGUGUCUUGCCAAUAACCCCUAAUUUUUAAAGGUUGACCUCGGAUCAGGUAGGGAUACCCGCUGAACUUAA
Molecule: unclassified non-coding RNA, 200 nt
Filed under: soil metagenome
Description: partial contains internal transcribed spacer 2 and large subunit ribosomal RNA
Source: RNAcentral